RNAcentral lists this long non-coding RNA (10710 nucleotides) under Zostera marina. Its description in RNAcentral is "long non-coding RNA (ZMAR_LNC001425)". The record is from RNAcentral. Lineage: Eukaryota; Viridiplantae; Streptophyta; Magnoliopsida; Alismatales; Zosteraceae.
AAAGCUUUAACUUCCCAUUAAUAGACACGUAUUAUUUAGCUAAAGCGGUUAUAUCUUUAGCUAUCUUUAACUUCCCAUUAAUAGACACGUAUUAUUUAGCUAAAGCGGUUAUAUCUUUAGCUAUCUUUAACUUCCCAUUAAUAGACACGUAUUAUUUUUAUCUCAUAGAUCUGUCAAAUGAGAUAAAUACUACGUGUAUGAGGUAAAUAAAUACCCCAUUAAUAGACACGUAUUAUUUUUAUCUCAUAGAUCUGUCAAAUAAGAUAAAUAACACGUGUAUGAGAUAAAUAAAUACCUCAUUAAUGGUCCAAAAAACACAUUAUAACAUUCUGGAAUAAAGCGUUUGGCAAAGCGGUCCAAAAAAACCGCUUUGCCGCUAUUUUCGCUUAAAGCGACGCUUAAGCGUCGCUUUUUGAACUAUGGUUUCAGUUAGGGCUAAAAGGAUAUUUCUAGUAUAUUCGCAAAGGAAGAAGAAAUGUCUAACUGACGCAUCCUCUUUUUGGCAUAAGAGGUAGAUUGCUUGGGUGUUCAAUCAAUUAAUCAUCAUCUUUAUUGCUUGGAAAAGGAAGGAAGGAAAUCCGACUUAACUCUUCGUAGCUUUAUGGAGAAUCUAGUGGACUUAUGUCAUAUGUGACCAGAUCCCUUCAACCAAGCUACUGAUUAGGCACAUCAUACAUGGGCAUGGAGCCCAUUUCUAUCUUAGAAGGUCCAUUCUCAUCUAGAUUCAAGGAGGGUAUAAAUGGAGGCAAGAGGAGAAGAAUCAACGACUUUUAUUUCAUUGAGUAUUCUCAAGGUAUUAUUCUCCCUUGCUCCUUAUUUCUCUUCAGAACUUUCCAUUCUGUUCUUGUUAUCAAUCUGGUGGAUUUUAGUGUACUGUAUCUUCUUCUGUGGAUUCAGAAGAUCAGCCUCGAAAUGGAUCCAGAUCUGAGAUCUACUCCAUCAAGUGGUAUCAGAUCUAGGGCACCCUUAAAACAUUAUUCAUAGCCACAAGAGUGUUCACUGACGAUGUAUUGUUCGCCGGAACAAUGCAAGGUAAAAAAGGAUCCAAAUCUUGUUGGGUAAAGAUGUCUGAUGAGGUCGUCACACAAGGUAGGAGUGAAUUUCAUAAAUGAGAAAUCCUUGGCCGACCUCACAUUGGCAAUAGACGACUUAGAAAGGACAUUCCACACUAUCAAGAGUGACGUUAGGUGUCAACAACAUCAUCAAUCUUUCCAAAUUCGAGGUGAACGACAUUACUAUGACCGCGAGCAUCGAAUAAUUAAUGAGAUGUACUGGACGAGAGACUAGUAUGAAGACUCUGAUUAUUUCCAUCAUCAAUUUCGUAGUUAUAUAAUAUAUGAUGAGACUUAGAAGGAUUCAUGAGCACAAUCAAUGCUAGAUCAAUUGAUUUUGAAUAGCAAUCGGGGUGAAAAAUAAUCGAAUUUUCAUCAGAUUUAGAAAGAACCCAUGAUGGAUGAAACAGCAAAGGAAGAAAAAGAGUCAAGAGAGAGAGAAAUGUGAGUACCUUGUUAAUUCAGAAAAAGAAAAACUACUUUAUUCUCUCCACUUAUUCCCUAUUUAUAUCCAUCUUAAUUAAUGGAGGUAAUUAAGAUGGAUUUAAUGGAAUUUAUUAGAGCACAUAAACCAUGGCUCUGUCUAAACAGAGCCCAUGGCUUAACUAACGCGCCUUGAUCCAGCCCAAUGAGAGUGACUCCUCUAUCACUACAAGAAGAAUCGCGAGGUGGAUUAUAUCACGAUAUGGGAAGAUAUCGGACUGGAGGAUAAUCAAGCAAGAAAAUCACGAUCUGGGCACGGAAAUUAUGAUCGGCAAGAAACGCGAUGUGGGGAAAUCAAGUUUUGAGGAGUACAUUUGUUGGGAGUCGGCGAGGGUCUGAUCGAAGGAGAUGAAAUCUGUAAAUCAGGAGAACAGAACGAACGCAAGAGGAUCUUCGUUGUUACCUCUAAAUCAACAAUCAAGCCAACCGGUCAUGUCCACACGGAAAUCAAAAGCUGGAGAAAUCGCGAGCUGGGAAGUCAAGAGUUGGGAAAGCUGAUUUUUCUGAAGGAGAUGAAAAGGGACUUAAUGAUAGAGCUUGGCGAGCAAAGAAAAGUAGUGUAAACUUCUUGGAGCUAUGGCUUAUUGUGCACACCAACAAUUGUCUCAGUGUUUUCCGAAGAUUGUACCAAAAUUGACAGAAGUUCUGACUAAUCCACAAAAUUCCAUAUCCUAAAAUUUAAAAGUGUAAAAAAAAAUCCAGAAAUUUCUACCCUUGUGCCUACGCUGUUAAAAGAUCUAGAGGAUCUUAAUCAACAUAAAAAAAUUCUCUUGAUAUUUUUCUUCAGACUACAUUUAUUAAUUCAAUUGAUGCACUAUCAUUGGCACUGCUGGUUCCAAUUGGACAUAGAGAUUUGAGGGAGAGGAGUUCAGAAAUGAAAAAAAAAGAAUCUCAGAUAGAUGGAAAUAUGUGUUCUUUAGUAACAGAACGAAAAGAUAUGAUACCAAUAAACCAUAUAUUGGAUCGAUGCUUCCUGAAAUAAAAAAAGGUUCUUCUGGAUCCUAUACCAGAGGAUCGGUCAGCUGCAGCACGAGCUCUCGGAUCUCUUGUAAAAGGAAUGGGUGAGGGGAAUUUCUAAGAGCUGGUUCCAUGGCUGUUAGAUACACUAAAAGCUGACAGUGACAGCAGCAAUGUUGAAAGAUCUGGAGCAGUACAAGAACGGAGUGAGAUUUUGGAUUCUCUUGUGAUGCAGCCCUUAUAAGUGCUUGCAUUAAUAAUAGGCUCGAUUCUAAUCGAGCCUUGGACCAAGCCCAAUAAAAUGGCUUGGACUCUCAUGGUAGACUUUCCACUCUUAAACCAUGAGAGUAUAAAUAUGAGUGGACCCCAAAGGAGGAGUUAGUUGAGUUCUAUUUUUAACCAAGGUAUUUCUCAACGUCUUUCUUUCUUUUAUUUCUUUCUUUCUUUUAUUUCUUUUAUUUCUUUUUAUUUUCUACCGAUUCCUAUUAUUCUUGCCAUUUUCCACACCACGAUUAUCCUUGGAUUGGGAUAAUCUCACCUACCUCUAUCGAUCUUCAAGGGAGAACAUAAACCCUAGUUCUAUAAUUUACUGUUCCAUUGGUUUGGAACGCAAGUCUGGACAGAUUUCUCUCAUCCAUUGAAUCUGUCUCCUUCAACUGUUCAAGGCCUACAUCAUCUUGGUAAGGAAUAUUUUGAAAGUCUUCUUCCUGAAAUCAUUCGAAAUUGUUCUCAUCAAAAGGCUCCAGUACUAGAUGGUAAUCUAUCAUUGUUUAAGUACCUACCAAGAUCUUUGGGAGUAAUGUUCUUCCAGAACUAUUUGCAAAUUGCAACUGGUUUUACUUUUUUUUUAAAGCAAUUAAAUUUCAUUAAUAAUAAGGGCAAUGCCCACAUUACAUAGAGUCUAGAAAUAAAAAACAGAAAAAAAUGAGUAAAAAGUCCAUCGACUCUCUCCCAUUAGCUAUGUAGUCUAGUUUGUAGUAAUUAGAUACGCUGCCUCAGGAGGUUGGUUUCAAUCAUAUAUGUCUUCAAAGGGUGACAAUAGUUUUUCUUGUAACACUCCAGAUCAAAGGAGAGACUGAUGUCUUUAAUAACCUCCUUAAGGACUACCUCAGGAGGCCUACUAACGUGUUGUCUGUAUCUUUUAUUUCUUUCUGUCUAUAUAUGCUACGACAAAACCCAAUAGCAUUUCAUAGUAGCCUCCAAGAGUAUUCCAUAUAUUAACUGGUUUUACCUUCUUUUUUGAAAAAUUAAAAUUUUCAUUACUGAAAAAGAGGUCUGACAUAGCCCAAGAUUACAGAUUAUCUUCUUUAUUGGCUAAAAUGUGUUUUCAUACGGUUGAGUCCAUUGUGGGCAUAAUAAGAAUUAGGUCAAGAGACUGGUUCCUAAUAUAUAUAUCUUUCAUCCAUUUUGUUGGGAUGAAUGUCUCCAGACUCCAGAAUAAGGUAGUCCAUUUUAAUGAUGGGGAUUUUCUUAACCCCAAGACCACCCUCACUGCUAGGUAGUACCAUUUCGGGCCAUGGAUUACAUUGAAUGCCUUUAUCACUAUCCCAAAUGAAUUGGUAGGAUAAAUUCUUGACUUUUUACACUAUGGACAUAAGGGGUUCAUUGGACCCAAUUGUAUAUUUGCCUUCAACUAUUAAAUUUACAAAUUAGAUCCUCCACCCAUAUAAUAAGUAUUUCACACUCCAUUUUGCUAGAAGCUUUUCAGACUGAAUGAGUUUCUAGCAUUGGUCGUGAGAUUUCUUUUUGCCAGAUAUGAGGAGACCUAGGUAGAUUUGUUUUACUUGGAAGCCUAGAAUAUUUUGUAACUCUAAGUCGACCUCACACACCUUAGAAAAAGGUGUAGAGCUCUUAGUUUUAUUAAUCUAUAUUCUCUAGACCUGUGAUUCUGUGAAAGUAGAGAAUUCCUCAAGUAUGUUCAGAAUGCACCUAAGUGAUUUUGGGUUUGUUCUGGUGAACAUCAUCAGCAUGCAUAAACUUUGGGUUUGGCAAGUUUUGAGUAAGAAGAAUACAGAGUUGUCUUCUAUCCUAUCUUGUGCUUUUCCUAUAUGCAGAAAUAUAAAAUAACUCCAAUCUUUUUUUUUUUUUUUUGAAGCAAUUAAAUUUCAUUAGAAUAAGGUUAAUGCCAAGUUUACAAAAAUAGAGAAUAGAAAUAAAAAUAGAAGUAAAAAGAAAUGAGCAAAAAGCUCAUUGACUCUCUCCCAUUAGCAAUGUAGUCUAGUUAUACAGUAACUAGAUACGCUGCCUCAGGAGGUUGGUCUCCCAUACUUCCAUCAUAGAUGUCUCCAAAGGGUGACAACAGCUCUUCUUGUAAUACACUGAAUCAAAGGAGAAACUGAUGUCUUUAAUGACCUCCUUAAGGACUACCUCAGGAGGCCUGCUAAUAUGUUGUCUAUAUCUCUUAUUUCUCUCCGUCCAUAUAUGCCACGACAAGCAUCCAAUAGCAUUCCAUAUUAACCCCCAAGGGGAACUCCAAUCUUUACUUGUUCUUGAGAUCCAUGUAUAUAAAGUAUAAAUUAUGGAUGUGUUAUUACCACUGUAGCUUGCCACAAAGGCUUCUUCCAUAAUACUCAAAUUUGGCUUCCCUAAUGCCUUAUUAUUUUGAAAACAAGAUUGUAAAGUAAGAAUAUUCAAAUUAUGUUUCCCUACAUGCUUUCUACUUAACAAAAUGCUUACUCACUCCAAUCUUAUAAUAAAAUUCUAGCAAGAUAUAAAGCUAUGAAAUUUUUUUGGCUAAAGUCUGACAAGAUGGAAUUCUAUACACAAUCAUCCCAGUACAGUACAAGCAAGGUUUAAAAACCGGUUAACCGGUAACCGGUUCUGGCUUACCGGUUUUCCGGUUAGACCGGUUAACCAGUGGUUAACCGGUAGGGGUAUUUUCGUAAUUUUUUUUAAAAAACAGAAAUUAUGUUAUAUACUUAUAUAUCUAUUCCAUGUUUAUAUCCAUGUUUAUAUCCCUGUUUAUAUAAAUAAAAAUAUCAUAAACAAUAUAGUAAUUCAAAAUAGUCAUUCAAAAUAGUAAUGCAAAUAAGUAAUUAAUUCCAUAAUGUAAUUCAAAAUAUCCUAAGCCUAAGAUAUCUAUAAGGAGUAAGAUUUAAACUUAUUAAAAUAAAGCCUNNNNNNNNNNNNNNNNNNNNNNNNNNNNNNNNNNNNNNNNNNNNNNNNNNNNNNNNNNNNNNNNNNNNNNNNNNNNNNNNNNNNNNNNNNNNNNNNNNNNNNNNNNNNNNNNNNNNNNNNNNNNNNNNNNNGACGGGUAACUGGGUCGGGUACGGGUCAGACCCGACCCAUCGACCCAUUUACCCGUCCCAACUAACCGGUCACCGGUUAGCCAUAUUUUACCGGUCAGCCGGUUAACCGCCAGUUUUUAAACCUUGAGUAUAAGUGCAAUGGAAUUGCCCAUCAUUUUCCCCUCCUUUGCCAAAUCCCAAACUCCCAAUAGACCCAACACACACUUACCUUUGCACAUAUCUUUGUCUUCGCAUUCUUCACCCGAAUUUAAAACAAAAUGUUGACGAAUGCUUCCACGAAGUCUACUUCUGAUGUAGGAGAAGAUUUGGAUUAAGGGGAAGAACGAUUGAAGGAGGCAGCAAGAACUUCUUCAAUCGGGGGAUGGGUAGAACUUGGAAUCCACCAAGAAUUCUAAGUUGAGAUCUAGAAUUUAGAAAAGGAAAUAACAAAGCAAAGAAGGAGGGAAAUAACGGUAAUACCUCGAUUUGAUAAUAAUUCAAUAGUUGCCGCCUCCCAUCCUUGGCCUAUUAUAAUUAUACUCACAUCAAUGGAAAUAGGCAACCCAUUUGAUGUGAGUGUAGGGUUGUUUAGGAGGAACGUGGGUUGGCUUGACCAAGGUCAAGCCAACUAGGGCCCACUUGAUUAUUCUCAAUAUCUUCUACUGCAUCAUGCACCCCUUCUACAGGUGCAAUUGUCCUCAAUUGCUCUUUAGAUUCUGCUUCAGGGAAAUAUUUCCUUAUGUCACAGACAUUGCAAGAAUUUUCUGAUUCAGCCGGGCUCAUUUCUGAUUCAACACUUAAUAGUUUUUUAAAUUCUUUUUGGGCAGAAAACAGCAAAUUAGACUUUUCAGAUGUGUUUCCUUCAGGUGGAAGUGGAAGCAAUGCUACUUUCAGAUCAUCUACUUUAACUACAUACUAAAUGGUUCUGCCAUUGUAGUGUGCACUCACAUCAUACUGCCAUGGUCUUCAUAAUAGUACAUGGGCUACAUCCAUGUUAACCACAUCACAUACAAUUUCAUCAUUGUACCUUCUACCGAUGGACAAAGGUACUUUGCAACUUUUAUCCACAGCUACUGAAUUCCCACUGAGAAUCCACCAUACACUGUAAGGGUUUUUGUGUUCCUCCACCUCUAAACCUAAUUUCUUCACUGCUUUCCACGAAAUCAGAUUAUCAGUUGAUCCGUUAUCUAUUAUAAUAUCACAGACCCUUCCUUUAAUUGUGCCUCUAGUCCUGAAUAAAUUAUUCCUCUGACUUUGCAGCUCUUGUUGAGGUGUGUGCAUAGUUCAAAAAGCGGAAAAGCGGUCAGCUUUUCCAUUGACCGCUUUUUCAGCUUUGAGCGCUUUAGCGCGCUUAAAGCUGAAAAAGCGGUAGUGGCAUUAUUGUAAAUAAUUGUAAUUUUUUUAAAAAUAUAUAUAAACCUGUAAUUAUUCAAGACAUCAUCCAAAUUAUUUGAAAAACAUUUACAAGUCAUAUAACCUAAUCAUCUAGACGUGCACCAAUAUCUAUAUUAUCUCUUAAAAUUUCUUCCAUUUCAUUCAUGCAAUGAUGAAAUUGGGAUUCAAUUCCCAUAUCUCUAGGGUUUUGGAAAAAAUAAAAGUGAGAGUGAUAAAGGAAAUUAGGGUUUUAUUAGAAGGGUAUUGGGUUUAUAUAGUUAGAUAGAAAUUGGAGGGGUAGGAAGGGAAAUUAAAAUAGUUUAAGUUAUUUCACAUGGGUAAUGGGUUGUCCCAACCCAAUAACCCAACCCGACCAGAAAAAGCGUUUUAGAAAGCGGUCCUGGAGGACCGCUUUUCCGCUUUUUGAACUAUGGGUGUGUGGCAUAUUCUGUGGAUGAUACAUGACAAUCUCUGUCCUUCAUUUAGAGGUGCUUCAUCAUCAUACUCAUCAACUGAACUAUCUUCCUCCAUGGGUGCUUUUCUUGUCAUCGACUACAUGUACACUUCUUCUCUUUGGACAAGUGUUAGAUUUAUGACCCCAUUCACCACAUCUGUAACACUUAAUAUUAGUGUUUCUUUGAUCAUAGCCUCUAUUAAUUCUAACAUCUUGUUGACUUUCAGGAUUAAUUUUUCUCUCUUCAGGUGUUGGCAGUAUACCCUUCUCAUUGGGUGGGUUGAAUCUAAUGUUGGAUAGGUCUCCAACAUUUUUUAUAAAUUUUUCAGCCCUUCUGUCCAACUGAUCAGCCACUCUUAUUGUAUCCAUUAACGAGUAUUGUGGUUGCAUGAUUAAUUUUUCUUGAUGUUUGCUCUUGAGCCCUUGGACAAACCUUGCUAUUAACUGCUCCUCUGUUUCAUUCAGAUUAUUUCUCGAAGACAACCUAUGGAAUUCUUUAGAAUAUUCAGCCACACUUCUAUUCCCUUGACAGCAUUGAUGAUAUUGAGUGAAUAGAACGCCCUCGUAAUCACUAGGCAAAAAUCUCUGUUUUAGCAAUUUCUUCAAUUUCUGCCAAGUUCGAACUGGUCUCUGGUUGGUCCUUCUUCUAUUUGUAACUGUUUGAUCCCACCAGGCAGACGCUAGGCCCUUAAAUCUCAAGACCACCAGUUUCACUUGUUGGUCCUCAUCAAUGUCCAUGUAGUCAAAAAAUCUUUCUACCUCUAUGAUCCAUUCCAAAAAUUCUUCAAUGUGUGUUGUCCCAUUGAAAGAAGGUAGAUCCAUCUUUAAUUUACAUUGCCACUGGCCUCUAUUAAAACUUUCAGGAGCUUCAUCCCAAUAAUUAUUUUCGCCUAUUUGCUCCCUCCUCAUCCUUUGGUAGUGAGGUCGCCUUUGAGACGUUUGUUGUGAAGGCAUGUUUAACCCUUCAUAUUCAUCUUCAUAAAGUUCAGCAAAUCGAUCAUUGUAGUUUUGUCGCUCUCUUUGAAAAUUCUGAUUUGGUAGGGUCACUGACCGGCGUUGAAAUGGUUGCUCCGGAGGGUCAUCUCUAAGUGCUCUGUUCCGACGCUGAUAGAUAUGUAAUGGUUCUUCGGGUGGGCGACGUGGGUAGGCUCCCCCGGGCUGUAUUAUUCCCUGUCCAAACAUGUCAAAUUCUUUUCCGACGAUUGGCGGCCGGAAUUCGACGUUCACCGUUGGUUCAGUGGGUUGGAUAGUCCUUCUCAGUUCUAAAAAUCCAUCACGCAUCGCAGUUGUUAAGUCGGCGAUGGCUUUGUUCGUAGAUUCCCAUUCUUCUCUUGUAAUGCUCUCAUUUGCCAUUUUUUUUUACUAUUUCAGUAACACACUAUAAAUCAAAGUCCUGAUUAAAAGGUACCACAAUUACUGAAUUCAGAUGGCCAAAAAUCACAACGUAAGUCACUCUGAUUUUUCCGAAAAAAUUUGCACAACUUUCCACAGCAACUAGAUUCACUGAUGGUUGCAGACAGAUCGCAAGAUCGUAGACUCAAUUCACUCUCGCAAAAGAAAACCUCUGGAAUCAACGAUGACAAUAUCUGUAGAGAACAGAACAGACAGAAGACGCAGAGAACGGAACUACCUGAUGUACAAUAUUCUCGCAGAUGACAAUAUUCUCGACCAGAUGACAAUAUUCUCGGAAAACACGAGGCAGAACAGAACCACAAAAAACGGACGAGGCAGAGCACAAGGCUGAAAUCGGCAGGAAAAAAAAGACCACGACGGACAACAGGAACAGGAAUAGACCACAACGGAAAAAAUUGGCAGAAAAAAAAUUGACGCUGACGGACAGAAAUUCCAAAUGGAAGAAAAAAAUUGAUGCAGACAGACGGAAGAUAGAAGUCACUAGGCGGAAGUCACUUGGUCGACGCAGACGCAGACAGACGGAACCACAAGAAACGAUCAUGAUUUGAUGCAGACGGAUGCCUCCCCACGACGGGAAAAAAAUUUCCAGAAAAAAAAAGAGAACAAUCGAAGAAUUGAUCCGGAAGACAGGAACAAGAAUGAAGAAAUCACCAGGAGAUGAUGAUUGAUCGGCAAGAAGACGGAUCCGGCAGACGAUCGGCAGAAACACGAUUAUUUUUUUUGUCGUAAUUUUUUUUUAAAUGAUCCAGAAACCUCUUUGAAGACAAUCAACAACAAUGUCUCUGAUGCCACCUGAUAUAGGAGAAGAUCUGAAUUAAGGGGAAAAACGAUUGAAGGAGGUAGCAAGAACUUCUUCAAUCGGGGGAUGGGUAGAACUUGGAAUCCACCAAGAAUUCUAGGUUGAGAUCUAAAAUUUAGAAAAGGAAAUAAUAAAGCAAAGGAGAGAAAUAACGGUAAUACCUCGAUUUGAUAAUAAUUCAAUAGUUGCCAGUUGCUACCUCCCAUCCUUGGCCUAUUAUAUUUAUACUCACAUCAAUGGAAAUAGGCAACCCAUUUGAUGCGAGUGUAGGGCUGUUUAGGAGGAACGUGGGUUGGCUUGACCAAGGUCAAGCCAACUAGGGCCCACGUGAUUAUUCUCAAUAUCUUCUACUGCAUCAACUUCACUCUUUGUAUUUGUGUCAGGCUUAUUCUCUUGAAUCAUGAUUUCCAUUGAUGGUCGUGGUUAUGUCCUCCUCAUACUUUCAGUCUUCCAUGUGAUCCUCAUCCUCACUUGGGAGUGUAACCCAAUUAUUAUAACACACUAACGGAAUUAUUUUUGCAGGAUGUUGGGUAUGGCUCUCUGAGUAUGUGAAAGAGGAGAUGGUAAAUUUAAGAAAACUUUUUGGAAAAAGUGAUCUGAAUGAACUCUUCACAAUCAAAGAAUUAAUUCCGUCUUUCAAGUGGAAUCCACCAAGGAAAGACCUCAUAUCAGAUCAUCAAAUCACGAGUGGAAUCACUUAGGUCGAGAUAUAGGAGGAAGCCGGAGCAACUGAACACCCAAGAUCAUCAACUAGGAGUGGUCAAAGCAUGACAGUUUAACAUUAAAAAAAAACUCAAGCUCAAGUUCCUGAACCUGAAGAUCAUGAAACUCAAUCUAUACCCAGCAAAAGAGAAAACACAAUGCUCCCUAGUUUGAUGACCUUUGAGCUAUUUUGUAAUUGUAUUUUGCAUCAACUAUAUUCUAAAUAUUUUAUAUGAACUAUUUCUGACU